GCUUUGAGAAGCUAACCAGCAUCGGUCUUGUAAACCGAAGACCAGAACAUAACUCUCCAAAGCU
Molecule: transfer RNA, 64 nt
Filed under: Pronodularia japanensis
Lineage: Eukaryota; Metazoa; Mollusca; Bivalvia; Unionida; Unionidae
Description: tRNA-Thr
Source: RNAcentral